This 942-nucleotide long non-coding RNA is filed under the name Homo sapiens (human). RNAcentral describes it as "long independently transcribed non-coding RNA 2646 (LINC02646)". Lineage: Eukaryota; Metazoa; Chordata; Mammalia; Primates; Hominidae. The record is from RNAcentral.
CUGCUACGCGGUACCCGGAUGGCCUCUCUCCGGGUCUUCGGGGGUGCGCGUCUUCCGGCCGACCCUCCUCCUGCUCCUGCUAUGUUGCUGACCCACGCUGCUGGCGCGAGUGGUCUUGCCCCUCGGGACCCGAGGAGGGAGGAGUUCUUCGUUCCCUUCAGCUUUCAGGCCCCAGGGAGAACCUUUCAGUCACAGGCAGCCUAGGUUCAAGAAGAAGAAAACCUGAGGCCUCGGCUCACCCUGACAGGGAAGUGGCGUGGGGACCGCUAAAGGACUGCGAGGUUCCACUGCCCAGGGCUGUCUAACCGCUUGCUUUAGACUGUGGGUGCACGGAGUCCGUCACUCAGCCUCCAGGACCAGGGCUCCUGAUGUGUGAGCGCGUUCCAUUCCCCCAUUCCCACAAGAACCCUCGCUCCCGCGAAGGCCUCCUGAGCUUGCGCGACUCCGCUGGGCCUUGGAGAGCUCUGGGGAGGGAGGCGCCUCUCCAGCACCCAGAUCCCCAGCCUGCAGCGCCUCGGGGCCAGUGUGGCCCGGAAUGGCAGCUUUGUCACACACUGCCGCUGGAGUGGGACUUGGCGUGGCUUUUCUGGAGGGCGACCUACAUCAAGGGGCAUGCAUGCGCCCUUUGAGCUACAGAUUUCUCAGCUGGGAAUGAAUUAUGAAUGUCCUUUAGCCUUGGCCGAGAGGGUGUACAGCUCUGCAGUGUUCCUGUCGGAAACUGGAAAUAGCCUGAGUGUUCUCCAUUAUGAAUUAGUGCAAAUGAAACACGGCUGAGCCUUACGGUGGCAUAGGAUGCAGUCAUUAGAAUACAACAUUCGAAAAAGGAAGAGCUGGUCGUUUGGUAAAAGCUUGUAACAGAUAAAGUUCUAAAUGGCAUCAAAAGAACAGACUUAGUAAAUCUCAUUUUGGUUAAAGAUGAGAAAUAAAAAUAAUACGCCUGAA